RNA transcript from Pan troglodytes (chimpanzee), 3027 nucleotides. It is a transcript of the gene named DExH-box helicase 58, with no coding region annotated. NCBI's taxonomy places the organism in Eukaryota, Metazoa, Chordata, Mammalia, Primates, Hominidae. The transcript is spliced from 11 exons. The record is from RefSeq and is a predicted model, not a curated record.
AUUUCCGAUUUCUGCUCUCUGCGCUGAGCACAGCGGCACCAGGCUGAGCUAAGCAGGGCCGCCUUGGGCAGGCCUACCUGGUGGUGCAGGCGAGACCCAGGCUGGGCAAGGCGCAGGUGUAGCCUGUGUUACUCCCACCUCCCCCCCCCACCUUUUGGCCACAGCAGGCUUCUGAUGGGUUUUGAGGGUGUCCUCCCCCACCUCCCUCAAGUGGGGUGGAGUCCUGGGCAAAGGGAGGUCUCUGUACCGACUGGUCUGGCCAGGAGUUGGGAUGAGUGGAGGGCCCAGUGGGUCUGAGUCCCCUGCCAUUCCCAGAAUGGAGCUGUGGCCCUACCAAUGGGAGGUGAUCAUGCCUGCCAGGGCGCUGGCGCAGCAGCAGUACUUUCCCAGAGUUUGUACUCACGGCAGUUGGCGAUGACUGUUAGCACAAACGGUUCUUUUCUCUUGGUUCUUUUUCCUGGGGGGGAUGGGAGAUUCCUAAUUCGGCUCAGCUGUCUCCUUCCCUCAGUUUCAGUUUCCAUCUUGGGUCUCCGAGCUGAGCAGAGUGGCACCAGGCUGAGUUAAGUGGGACUGCCCUGGGCAGACCUACCUACUAGAGCAGAAUGGAGCUUCGGCCCUACCAAUGGGAGGUGAUCAUGCCUGCCCUGGAGGGCAAGAAUAUCAUCAUCUGGCUGCCCACGGGUGCCGGGAAGACUCGGGCGGCUGCUUAUGUGGCCAAGCGGCACCUAGAGACUGUGGAUGGAGCCAAGGUGGUUGUAUUGGUCAACAGGGUGAGUGGUCUGUCCCUACCCCGCUCCCCCACCACCAAGCAGGGUCUCAGCUCUUCAGGCAUCUCCCAGUCCCCACCAGAACUCCAAAGCUGCUGUGGCCAUCGAUAAGCUCACCUGUCUUUCCACCCUGGCUCAGUACCCAGCCAUGUCCUGCGGGUCACCUUACCUCCUCCCUACCCCUGGCCCCAGAUUCAGCUCUCUUUUCCCAGCUCAUUCUCCACCCCCAGGUGCACCUGGUGACCCAGCAUGGUGAAGAGUUCAGGCGCAUGCUGGAUGGACGCUGGACCAUGACAACCCUGAGUGGGGACAUGGGACCACGUGCUGGCUUUGGCCACCUGGCCCGGUGCCAUGACCUGCUCAUCUGCACAGCAGAGCUUCUGCAGAUGGCACUGACCAGCCCCGAGGAGGAGGAGCACGUGGAGCUCACUGCCUUCUCCCUGAUCGUGGUGGAUGAGUGCCACCACACGCACAAGGACACCGUCUACAACGUCAUCAUGAGCCAGUACCUAGAACUUAAACUCCAGAGGGCACAGCCGCUACCCCAGGUGCUGGGUCUCACAGCCUCCCCAGGCACUGGUGGGGCCUCCAAACUCGAUGGGGCCAUCAACCACGUCCUGCAGCUCUGUGCCAACUUGGACACGUGGUGCAUCAUGUCACCCCAGAACUGCUGCCCCCAGCUGCAGGAGCACAGCCAACAGCCUUGCAAACAGUACAACCUCUGCCACAGGCGCAGCCAGGAUCCGUUUGGGGACUUGCUGAAGAAGCUCAUGGACCAAAUCCAUGACCACCUGGAGAUGCCUGAGUUGAGCCGGAACUUUGGGACGCAAAUGUAUGAGCAGCAGGUGGUGAAGCUGAGUGAGGCUGCGGCUUUGGCUGGGCUUCAGGAGCAACGGGUGUAUGCGCUUCACCUGAGGCGCUACAAUGACGCGCUGCUCAUCCAUGACACCGUCCGCGCCGUGGAUGCCUUGGCUGCGCUGCAGGAUUUCUAUCACAGGGAGCACGUCACUAAAACCCAGAUCCUGUGUGCCGAGCGCCGGCUGCUGGCCCUGUUCGAUGACCGCAAGAAUGAGCUGGCCCACUUGGCAACUCAUGGCCCAGAGAAUCCAAAACUGGAGAUGCUGGAAAAGAUCCUGCAAAGGCAGUUCAGUAGCUCUAACAGCUCUCGGGGUAUCAUCUUCACCCGCACCCGCCAGAGCGCACACUCCCUCCUGCUCUGGCUCCAGCAGCAGCAGGGCCUGCAGACUGUGGACAUCCGGGCCCAGCUACUGAUUGGGGCUGGGAACAGCAGCCAGAGCACCCACAUGACCCAGAGGGACCAGCAAGAAGUGAUCCAGAAGUUCCAAGAUGGAACCCUGAACCUUCUGGUGGCCACGAGUGUGGCGGAGGAGGGGCUGGACAUCCCACAUUGCAAUGUGGUGGUGCGUUAUGGGCUCUUGACCAAUGAAAUCUCCAUGGUCCAGGCCAGGGGCCGUGCCCGGGCCGAUCAGAGUGUAUAUGCGUUUGUAGCAACUGAAGGUAGCCGGGAGCUGAAGCGGGAGCUGAUCAACGAGGCGCUGGAGACACUGAUGGAGCAGGCAGUGGCUGCUGUGCAGAAAAUGGACCAGGCCGAGUACCAGGCCAAGGAACUACUAUAAUGUCUCCAGGGAUCCUGUGGUCAUCAACAAAGUCUUCAAGGACUGGAAGCCUGGGGGUGUCAUCAGCUGCAGGAACUGUGGGGAGGUCUGGGGUCUGCAGAUGAUCUACAAGUCAGUGAAGCUGCCAGUGCUCAAAGUCCGCAGCAUGCUACUGGAGACCCCUCAGGGGCGGAUCCAGGCCAAAAAGUGGUCCCGCGUGCCCUUCUCCGUGCCUGACUUUGACUUCCUGCAGCAUUGUGCCCAGAACUUGUCGGACCUCUCCCUGGACUGACCACCUCAUUGCUGCAGUGCCCGGUUUGGGCUGUAGGGGGCGGGAGAGUCUGCAGCAGACUCCAGGCCCCUCCUUCCUGAAUCAUCAGCUGUGGGCAUCAGGCCCACCAGCCACACAGGAGUCCUGGGCACCCUGGCUUAGGCUCCCGCAAUGGGAAAACAACCGGAGGGCCAGAGCUCAGUCCAGACCUACCUUGUACGCACAUAGACAUUUUCAUAUGCACUGGAUGGAGUUAGGGAAACUGAGGCAAAAGAAUUUGCCAUACUGAGAAUCACGACAUUCCUUCCCUACCAAGGCCACUUCUAUUUUUUGAGGCUCCUCAUAAAAAUAAAUGAAAAAAUGAGAUAGAAAA